This is a non-coding RNA of Schizosaccharomyces pombe (fission yeast), 299 nucleotides long. NCBI's taxonomy places the organism in Eukaryota, Fungi, Ascomycota, Schizosaccharomycetes, Schizosaccharomycetales, Schizosaccharomycetaceae. The record is from the annotation of a GenBank genome assembly.
AUUGGACUGACGCUAAUUCACAACCGUCUUCAAGUAUCAAUCUUUUAUUGAUGCAGUGUUGAAAAUCGUGUUGUCCUCCAAAUGUUGCCUUGGUACGUAGCUUCCAUAAAUUCCAAAUUUCUGUUACACAUUGUGCAGAUGUCCCCAAAACCUGAUAAGCAUGAUUUGCAGCCAGAGAUCGGAUUUCUUCAUCAUCGUCGUUAAGGAAGUCUCCCAGUAAUAAGUAGAGAAUAUAAAAUUCGAAAGAAAACGCUUCAGCUGUUGAUUCUGCGUUGAACAAAUCAAAAUGUAUUAUGGAA